Molecule: ribosomal RNA, 1557 nt
Filed under: Staphylococcus aureus
Lineage: Bacteria; Bacillati; Bacillota; Bacilli; Caryophanales; Staphylococcaceae
Description: 16S ribosomal RNA
Rfam family: Bacterial small subunit ribosomal RNA
Source: RNAcentral
UUUUAUGGAGAGUUUGAUCCUGGCUCAGGAUGAACGCUGGCGGCGUGCCUAAUACAUGCAAGUCGAGCGAACGGACGAGAAGCUUGCUUCUCUGAUGUUAGCGGCGGACGGGUGAGUAACACGUGGAUAACCUACCUAUAAGACUGGGAUAACUUCGGGAAACCGGAGCUAAUACCGGAUAAUAUUUUGAACCGCAUGGUUCAAAAGUGAAAGACGGUCUUGCUGUCACUUAUAGAUGGAUCCGCGCUGCAUUAGCUAGUUGGUAAGGUAACGGCUUACCAAGGCAACGAUGCAUAGCCGACCUGAGAGGGUGAUCGGCCACACUGGAACUGAGACACGGUCCAGACUCCUACGGGAGGCAGCAGUAGGGAAUCUUCCGCAAUGGGCGAAAGCCUGACGGAGCAACGCCGCGUGAGUGAUGAAGGUCUUCGGAUCGUAAAACUCUGUUAUUAGGGAAGAACAUAUGUGUAAGUAACUGUGCACAUCUUGACGGUACCUAAUCAGAAAGCCACGGCUAACUACGUGCCAGCAGCCGCGGUAAUACGUAGGUGGCAAGCGUUAUCCAGAAUUAUUGGGCGUAAAGCGCGCGUAGGCGGUUUUUUAAGUCUGAUGUGAAAGCCCACGGCUCAACCGUGGAGGGUCAUUGGAAACUGGAAAACUUGAGUGCAGAAGAGGAAAGUGGAAUUCCAUGUGUAGCGGUGAAAUGCGCAGAGAUAUGGAGGAACACCAGUGGCGAAGGCGACUUUCUGGUCUGUAACUGACGCUGAUGUGCGAAAGCGUGGGGAUCAAACAGGAUUAGAUACCCUGGUAGUCCACGCCGUAAACGAUGAGUGCUAAGUGUUAGGGGGUUUCCGCCCCUUAGUGCUGCAGCUAACGCAUUAAGCACUCCGCCUGGGGAGUACGACCGCAAGGUUGAAACUCAAAGGAAUUGACGGGGACCCGCACAAGCGGUGGAGCAUGUGGUUUAAUUCGAAGCAACGCGAAGAACCUUACCAAAUCUUGACAUCCUUUGACAACUCUAGAGAUAGAGCCUUCCCCUUCGGGGGACAAAGUGACAGGUGGUGCAUGGUUGUCGUCAGCUCGUGUCGUGAGAUGUUGGGUUAAGUCCCGCAACGAGCGCAACCCUUAAGCUUAGUUGCCAUCAUUAAGUUGGGCACUCUAAGUUGACUGCCGGUGACAAACCGGAGGAAGGUGGGGAUGACGUCAAAUCAUCAUGCCCCUUAUGAUUUGGGCUACACACGUGCUACAAUGGACAAUACAAAGGGCAGCGAAACCGCGAGGUCAAGCAAAUCCCAUAAAGUUGUUCUCAGUUCGGAUUGUAGUCUGCAACUCGACUACAUGAAGCUGGAAUCGCUAGUAAUCGUAGAUCAGCAUGCUACGGUGAAUACGUUCCCGGGUCUUGUACACACCGCCCGUCACACCACGAGAGUUUGUAACACCCGAAGCUGGUGGAGUAACCUUUUAGGAGCUAGCCGUCGAAGGUGGGACAAAUGAUUGGGGUGAAGUCGUAACAAGGUAGCCGUAUCGGAAGGUGCGGCUGGAUCACCUCCUUUCUAA